UGGGGAAUAUUGGACAAUGGGCGCAAGCCUGAUCCAGCCAUGCCGCGUGAGUGAUGAAGGCUCUAGGGUUGUAAAGCUCUUUCACCGGUGAAGAUAAUGACGGUAACCGGAGAAGAAGCCCCGGCUAACUUCGUGCCAGCAGCUGCGGUAAUACGACGGGGGCUAGCGUUGUUCGGAUUUACUGGGCGUAAAGCGCACGUAGGCGGACUUUUAAGUCAGGGGUGAAAUCCCGGGGCUCAACCCCGGAACUGCCUUUGAUACUGGAAGUAUUGAGUAUGGUAGAGGUGGGUGGAAUUCCGAGUGUAGAGGUGAAAUUCGUAGAUAUUCGGAGGAAAACCAGUGGCGAAGGCGUCUCACUGGACCAUUACUGACGCUGAGGUGCGAAAGCGUGGGGAGCAAACAGG
Molecule: ribosomal RNA, 404 nt
Filed under: Actinomycetes bacterium
Lineage: Bacteria; Bacillati; Actinomycetota; Actinomycetes
Description: Actinobacteria bacterium partial 16S ribosomal RNA
Rfam family: Bacterial small subunit ribosomal RNA
Source: RNAcentral